UGUCGUCAGCUCGUGUCGUGAGAUGUUGGGUUAAGUCCCGCAACGAGCGCAACCCUUAAGCUUAGUUGCCAUCAUUAAGUUGGGCACUCUAAGUUGACUGCCGGUGACAAACCGGAGGAAGGUGGGGAUGACGUCAAAUCAUCAUGCCCCUUAUGAUUUGGGCUACACACGUGCUACAAUGGACAAUACAAAGGGCAGCGAAACCGCGAGGUCAAGCAAAUCCCAUAAAGUUGUUCUCAGUUCGGAUUGUAGUCUGCAACUCGACUACAUGAAGCUGGAAUCGCUAGUAAUCGUAGAUCAGCAUGCUACGGUGAAUACGUUCCCGGGUCUUGUACACACCGCCCGUCACACCACGAGAGUUUGUAACACCCGAAGCCGGUGGAGUAACCUUUUAGGAGCUAGCCGUCGAAGGUGGGACAAAUGAUUGGGGUGAAGUCGUAACAAGGUAGCCGUAUCGGAAGGUGCGGCUGGAUCACCUCCUUUCUAAGGA
RNAcentral lists this ribosomal RNA (490 nucleotides) under Staphylococcus aureus. RNAcentral's name for it is "bacterial SSU rRNA". It matches the Rfam family "Bacterial small subunit ribosomal RNA", at positions 1050 to 1533 of the family's 1533-position model. The record is from RNAcentral. Lineage: Bacteria; Bacillati; Bacillota; Bacilli; Caryophanales; Staphylococcaceae.